Molecule: ribosomal RNA, 208 nt
Filed under: uncultured bacterium
Lineage: Bacteria
Description: partial 16S ribosomal RNA
Rfam family: Bacterial small subunit ribosomal RNA
Source: RNAcentral
CGUGUAGGCGGGAAGGAAAGUCAGAUGUGAAAUCCCCAGGCUCAACCUGGGAACUGCAUUUGAAACUCCCUUUCUUGAGUACCGGAGAGGAAAGUGGAAUUCCUGGUGUAGAGGUGAAAUUCGUAGAUAUCAGGAGGAACACCAGUGGCGAAGGCGGCUUUCUGGACGGCAACUGACGCUGAGACGCGAAAGCGUGGGGAAGCAAACA